RNAcentral lists this transfer RNA (77 nucleotides) under Moraxella sp. Its description in RNAcentral is "tRNA-fMet(cat)". It matches the Rfam family "tRNA". Rfam says of the family: Transfer RNA (tRNA) molecules are approximately 80 nucleotides in length. RNAcentral also lists the same sequence under 60 other names. The record is from RNAcentral. Lineage: Bacteria; Pseudomonadati; Pseudomonadota; Gammaproteobacteria; Moraxellales; Moraxellaceae.
UGCGGGGUGGAGCAGCUUGGUAGCUCGUCGGGCUCAUAACCCGAAGGUCGUUGGUUCAAAUCCAGCCCCCGCUACCA